This 710-nucleotide ribosomal RNA is filed under the name uncultured bacterium. Its description in RNAcentral is "bacterial SSU rRNA". It matches the Rfam family "Bacterial small subunit ribosomal RNA", at positions 9 to 744 of the family's 1533-position model. The record is from RNAcentral.
GAGUUUGAUCCUGGCUCAGGACGAACGCUGGCGGCGUGCCUAACACAUGCAAGUCGAGCGAGAGACUUCGGUCUCUAGCGGCGGACGGGUGAGUAACACGUGGGUAACCUGCCUCAUAGAGGGGGAUAGCCUUCCGAAAGGAAGAUUAAUACCGCAUAACGUCAAGUUGUCGCAUGACAGUUUGAUCAAAGGAGUAAUCCGCUAUGAGAUGGACCCGCGGCGCAUUAGCUAGUUGGUGAGGUAACGGCUCACCAAGGCGACGAUGCGUAGCCGACCUGAGAGGGUGAUCGGCCACAUUGGAACUGAGAUACGGUCCAAACUCCUACGGGAGGCAGCAGUGGGGAAUAUUGCACAAUGGGCGAAAGCCUGAUGCAGCAACGCCGCGUGAGUGAUGAAGGCCUUCGGGUUGUAAAGCUCUGUCUUUGGGGACGAUAAUGACGGUACCCAAGGAGGAAGCCACGGCUAACUACGUGCCAGCAGCCGCGGUAAUACGUAGGUGGCAAGCGUUGUCCGGAUUUACUGGGCGUAAAGGAUGCGUAGGUGGAUAUUUAAGUCAGAUGUGAAAUACCCGAGCUUAACUUGGGUGCUGCAUUUGAAACUGGAUAUCUAGAGUGCAGGAGAGGUAAGUGGAAUUCCUAGUGUAGCGGUGAAAUGCGUAGAGAUUAGGAAGAACACCAGUGGCGAAGGCGACUUACUGGACUGUAACUGAC